AAAGAUGCUGAUAAAAAGAGGGGGAGUUUUUCUGGUGCUUCAAAAAGGGAAUUUAGACACAAAAGAAAAAGGAUUAUUUUUCUCUUCCAAACUCAGCGCCGUCACGCCGAAUCACUACCUCCCUCCCUCAAGCCUCUCUUUCCUCCAUAGCCGAGAGUUUCCUUUGAACGCAUUGGCUCAAUCGUCCAACCUCACCGUCAGUUUCCUUAAUGCCGACAACGCACCACCGCCGUUCGCCGGAAGUUUUCAACUCCCCUUCCACGACCCCCUUUCGCUUGGAUCUCGCCGUCUACUUAUGUCGGUUAGUCGCGAGUGUGACCUCACAACCAAGACGUGUCAAUAAUCUACGACAACCACGUAAGGUCCGUUUCGGUGUCGAUACAAUUUUUAUGGUUUUAUGUUUGCUGCGUUUUUUAUAAAAAAAAGAGGGGUGUGCUUUUGAAAUUUUAUUAUUUGGUGAUGGUAUUUGGUUUGUGGUAGCAUUGGAUUUAUUAUUGUCAUUCUGUUUUUGUUUAUUUUGAACAUGGAAAAUUUUAUUAUUUGGUGAUGGUAUUUGGUUUGUGGUAGCAUUGGAUUUAUUAUUGUCAUUCUGUUUUUGUUUAUUUUGAACAUGGGUUUGUUAUUAUUUUCAUUGUCGGAUAUGUAGUUUUCCACUGGAAAGAAGAAGAUGAACAGUACAACUCAAAUUUUAAUUUUAAUUUUUUUUCAUUUUCUAUUUUUUCUAUUUGUAAUAUUUGAAGCUACUUAUAGUCAUGAUUGAGCUGUUUGGCUUGGUAGAGAGGGGCCUUCGUGGAGAACCAUAGAUCAUGGGUUCAAAACCCGAUGAUUCUCUUUUUAUUUUUCUUUAUUGUGUUUUCUAAGUUGUCAUGAGUUAUGUAUUAAUGGGUUCAGUUGACUUAUGACUUUUCAUCCAUGUUGUAGCGGUAAAUGCGCUUGGCAUAUCUUGCUAGAUCUUGGGUUCGAGUUCAACCCUUGUAUAGCCCAUUUUAUAUUUAUUUCCAUUUUUAUGUUUAUUUAUUUUAAUAUCCUUUUAUAUUUUAUGCACCUAUCCGACACUUGCUGAUCUCGCCGUUUGUCCUUGAUUUUAUUUUGUUGUUAAAAUAUCAAGCUUUAACCUAUGGAUUCAACAAUUUCUGUGUUGUUAUUCCAUGAUUAUUUUAUUGAUAUAUUGAUAGUAUUUCGCCGCAUUUUGAUUAAUCACAUAUGACAUUUCGAUUGUUGUCAAUAUGUGUAAACCGGUUUUGAGCACAUUAUUUAGGUUGUGUGUCCCUCAAUUUCCAUCCGUGUGAAUCCCGGUUUUCCUUCUUUUGACUUAAUUUUUGAUUAUCUUGUAAAUAUAAUUUUGUAUUUGUUGUUUUCUUCACAUGACUUACUCUUGGGCCUUCUUACAAUGAGCUCUUAAGCAACAUCAACUUAACUUUCA
Molecule: long non-coding RNA, 1423 nt
Filed under: Lathyrus oleraceus (garden pea)
Lineage: Eukaryota; Viridiplantae; Streptophyta; Magnoliopsida; Fabales; Fabaceae
Description: Pisum sativum (pea) long non-coding RNA (PSAT_LNC036169)
Source: RNAcentral